This 443-nucleotide ribosomal RNA is filed under the name uncultured bacterium. RNAcentral describes it as "partial 16S ribosomal RNA". It matches the Rfam family "Bacterial small subunit ribosomal RNA", at positions 338 to 795 of the family's 1533-position model. The record is from RNAcentral.
CCUACGGGCGGCAGCAGUGGGGAAUAUUGGGCAAUGGGCGCAAGCCUGACCCAGCAACGCCGCGUGAAGGAAGAAGGCUUUCGGGUUGUAAACUUCUUUUCUCAGGGACGAAGCAAGUGACGGUACCUGAGGAAUAAGCCACGGCUAACUACGUGCCAGCAGCCGCGGUAAUACGUAGGUGGCAAGCGUUAUCCGGAUUUACAGGGUGUAAAGGGCGUGUAGGCGGGAAAGCAAGUCAGAUGUGAAAACCAUGGGCUCAACCUGUGGCCUGCAUUUGAAACUGUUUUUCUUGAGUACUGGAGAGGCAGACGGAAUUCCUAGUGUAGCGGUGAAAUGCGUAGAGAUUAGGAGGAACACCAGUGGCGAAGGCGGUCUGCUGGACAGCAACUGACGCUGAGGCGCGAAAGCGUGGGGAGCAAACAGGAUUAGAUACCCGUGUAGUC